Molecule: ribosomal RNA, 510 nt
Filed under: uncultured bacterium
Lineage: Bacteria
Description: partial 16S ribosomal RNA
Rfam family: Bacterial small subunit ribosomal RNA
Source: RNAcentral
GACGAACGCUGGCGGCGUGCUUAACACAUGCAAGUCGAACGAAGAGCGAUGGAAGCUUGCUUCUAUCAAUCUUAGUGGCGAACGGGUGAGUAACGCGUAAUCAACCUGCCCUUCAGAGGGGGACAACAGUUGGAAACGACUGCUAAUACCGCAUACGAUUUAAUCUCGGCAUCGAGGAUAGAUGAAAGGUGGCCUCUACAUGUAAGCUAUCACUGAAGGAGGGGAUUGCGUCUGAUUAGCUAGUUGGAGGGGUAACGGCCCACCAAGGCGAUGAUCAGUAGCCGGUCUGAGAGGAUGAACGGCCACAUUGGGACGGAGACACGGCCCAGACUCCUACGGGAGGCAGCAGUGGGGAAACUUCCGCAAUGGACGAAAGUCUGACGGAGCAACGCCGCGUGAGUGAUGACGGCCGUCGGGUUGUAAAGCUCUGUUAAUCGGGACGAAAGGCCUUCUUGCGAAUAGGGAGAAGGAUUGACGGUACCGGAAUAGAAAGCCACGGCUAACUACGUG